UCAAACGCGAAAGCCCCCUUCGGGGGGCAAGUAGAGUGGCGCACGGGUGAGUAACACGUAGGUAAUCUACCUUUGGAUGGGGAAUAACAACCGGAAACGGUUGCUAAUACCGCAUAAUGCAGCGGCACCUAAUGGUGACAGUUGUUAAAGCGGGGGAUCGCAAGACCUCGCGUCUGAAGAGGAGCCUGCGGCGGAUUAGCUAGUUGGUAAGGUAACGGCUUACCAAGGCUAUGAUCCGUAGCCGGCCUGAGAGGGCGGUCGGCCACACUGACACUGACAUACGGGUCAGACUCCUACGGGAGGCAGCAGUCGGGAAUUUUGGGCAAUGGGCGAAAGCCUGACCCAGCAACGCCGCGUGAAGGAUGAAAUCCUUCGGGAUGUAAACUUCGCAAGAACAGGAAGAAUAAGCCGGUGUUAACAUCACCGGUGAUGACGGUACUGUUUGUAAGCUCCGGCUAACUCCGUGCCAGCAGCCGCGGUAAUACGGGGGGAGCAAGCGUUG
RNAcentral lists this ribosomal RNA (502 nucleotides) under uncultured bacterium. Its description in RNAcentral is "bacterial SSU rRNA". It matches the Rfam family "Bacterial small subunit ribosomal RNA", at positions 62 to 543 of the family's 1533-position model. The record is from RNAcentral.